CGAACGGGUGAGUAAUACAUCGGAACGUGUCCGCACGUGGGGGACAACCAGCCGAAAGGUUGGCUAAUACCGCAUGAGUUCUACGGAAGAAAGAGGGGGACCCGCAAGGGCCUCUCGCGAGCGGAGCGGCCGAUGACUGAUUAGCCGGUUGGUGAGGUAACGGCUCACCAAAGCAACGAUCAGUAGCUGGUCUGAGAGGACGACCAGCCACACUGGGACUGAGACACGGCCCAGACUCCUACGGGAGGCAGCAG
This 254-nucleotide ribosomal RNA is filed under the name uncultured bacterium. RNAcentral describes it as "partial 16S ribosomal RNA". It matches the Rfam family "Bacterial small subunit ribosomal RNA", at positions 99 to 354 of the family's 1533-position model. The record is from RNAcentral.